GGUAGGUAUAGCUCAGUGGUAGAGCACAUGCUUAGCAUGCAUGAGGUCCUGGGUUCAAUCCCCAGUACCUCCA
RNAcentral lists this transfer RNA (73 nucleotides) under Vicugna pacos (alpaca). RNAcentral describes it as "tRNA-Ala (AGC) (tRNA-Ala-AGC-202-1)". It matches the Rfam family "tRNA". From Rfam's summary of the family: Transfer RNA (tRNA) molecules are approximately 80 nucleotides in length. Their secondary structure includes four short double-helical elements and three loops (D, anti-codon, and T loops). Lineage: Eukaryota; Metazoa; Chordata; Mammalia; Artiodactyla; Camelidae. The record is from RNAcentral.